UUUGUCUAUUGUUUUGGAAAGUGUUCCACGUUACAGAUGUGACAUUUCACCUUUCGGUAUUAUAGUGUGCAUCUUCAAAGAAACAAUUUCCCUACAUAAUCACAUUGAUAGAAGGGAAAGAAACUCCUGACCUGCUAGAUGUCUGGAGUCAGCGGCUUUGUCCUGAGGGUAGGGUCCGCUGCGGCCUUUCACCUUCGCUUUGGGACCCCUCUGGACCUCGCCCGCCCGCGCGGCCAGGCCGCGGCCCAGGCCGGACUCUCCGACCCCGCUGGCCCCGGC
Molecule: long non-coding RNA, 279 nt
Filed under: Chinchilla lanigera (long-tailed chinchilla)
Lineage: Eukaryota; Metazoa; Chordata; Mammalia; Rodentia; Chinchillidae
Description: lncRNA (ENSCLAG00000026755.1)
Source: RNAcentral